Myxocyprinus asiaticus (Chinese sucker) is the source of this 1080-nucleotide long non-coding RNA. RefSeq lists it as uncharacterized. The record is from RefSeq and is a predicted model, not a curated record. Lineage: Eukaryota; Metazoa; Chordata; Actinopteri; Cypriniformes; Catostomidae. The transcript has 3 exons.
UUCAAAUCGAAAGUGAUCAUCCCUAAAAAAAAAAAGGAAAAAAAGAAAAGAAAGCGAUCAUCCCUAUGCCCUACUCACUACGAAGGACAGAGCUCUUGAUGUGGGCACUCUGAAGGGAGCAUUACAUUACAGUUUGAAUGUAGCCGUCACUAAAAGUCUUGUAAAAGUAGGUCCUCCUGGUGGCGCGGUUACUCACCUCAAUCCGGGUGGCGGAGGACAAGUCCCAGUUGCCUCCAAUUCUGAGACUGUCAAUCUGCGCAUUUUAUCAUGUGGCUCGUUAUGCAUGACACUGCGGAGACUCGCAGCAUGUGGAGACUCAUGCUACUCUCUGCGAUCCAUGCGCAACUUACCAUGCGCCCCAUUGAGAGCGAGAACCACUAAUCGUGACCACAAGGAGGUUACCCAUGUGACUCUACCCUCCCUAGCAACAGGGCCAAUUUGGUUGCUUAGGAGACCUGGCUGGGGUCACUCAGCACACCCUGGAUUCUAAUUCGCGACUCCAGGGGUGGUAGUCAGCGUCAAUACUCGAUGAGCUACCCAAAAAUCACAUAAAGGUAGCAUAAAAGUAAUCCAUAAGACUCCAGUGGUUAAAUCCAUGUCUUCAGAAGCGAUAUGAUAGGUGUGGGAGAGAAACAGAUAAAUUUUUUCUUUCUAUAAAUCUCCACUUUCCCUUUCACAUUCUGAACAUGAAAGUGGAGAUUUAUAGUAAAAAGGGAUUUAAAUACUUAUAUUUUUCUCACCCAAAGUGAUUGAAUCACUUCAGAAGACAUAUAUUACACCACUGGGGUCACAUGGAUAAUUUCAUGCUGCCUUUAUGUCAUUUUUGGAUCUUCAAAGGUCUGGUUACCAUUCACUUGCAUUGAAAGAAUCUAUGGAGCUGAGAUAUUCUUCUAAAAAUCUUUGUGUUCAGCAGAAGAAAGUCAUACACAUCUUAGAUGACAUGAGGCCCUUCAGAGGACCUGCUAGCUGACAGGUAGCCCUGCAUUGGUUCUCUUUUCAUGGAUAGAGGCCAGCAUGUCUGUGACCAGCUCUGACAGACUGUAUGCAGGCUUCCAGCCCCAAUCCUGACGUGCAUUAGAG